Long non-coding RNA from Oncorhynchus tshawytscha (Chinook salmon), 2749 nucleotides. The record is from Ensembl. Lineage: Eukaryota; Metazoa; Chordata; Actinopteri; Salmoniformes; Salmonidae.
UCCUAUAAUAACCUAUAAUAAUAAUAAUCCUACAUUAAUAAACAUAACAAUAAUAAUCCUAUAAUAAUAAUAAUCCUAUCAUAAAUAUAAUGCUAUAAUAAUAAUAAUCCUAUCAUAAUAAUAAUAAUCCUAUAAUAAUAAUAAUCUUAUAAUAAUAAUAAUCCUAUCAUAAUAAUAAUCAUAUAAUAAUAAUACUCAUAUAAUAUUCUAUAAUAAUAAUCCUAUAAUAUCUCACCUCGAACAACAUUUACUUAGUUUUCUUUCACAAGCUAAGUUGUUUUUCAAUGUUUGAGUUUUCUUCAACUGCUAGCGAAUUGGCUACUAAUCAGAUUCUCUAUCUAACAGACAGGACUAGAGCUAGCGGCUUGAGUGCCCUGGUUGCCAGGGUAACCUCCUGCCCUUAAAAGGUCGACAUCUGAACAUUUUAAUCUCAGCUGUGAUAUUUUGAUUAAAAGACUCAGGUCACAAAAAAAUGAAAUAACAUUGAGCAAAAUACCACAUCAAUUCUCACUACUGAUACAUUUAUUAUUUUAGAAACAUUACAAAGCAUGCUCAUCCGGUUUAUUUUAGUUUUAUAGUGAACAAAUAUUUUGGCUGGUAAAAAAAAUCUGAGUGGGUAAAAGUUAGUUUCAGGCCCUGAUCCAAAUGCUUAAAUUAUUUAGCUACUGGGAAACGAGGCCCUGAUCUCUGGACAGGGUCUUCAAAGGGGACAUACAGACACUGUACCAAUUUAACCACAGUCCCAUAUUCCAUCUUCCUCCCUAGGGGAACACAUCUCACAGUGUCACUGGUCUGAUAAUUCUUCGUCUCCCUGACAUCUUGACUCCAUCACUCACAUCACAAGACGUUAUUCACUCUCUCAGAACAGCUCCUCUCACCCCUCCCCUUCCUGUCACAAUCACAGUCCUUUUUCUGCUGAUGUUUACGUCUGAAACGUUUGAAAAGCAAAGCGGGUGUCGUCUCCCCGUCUGUCCCCGCCUGCCGAUAUCCCAGCUGCUUGCCUUCGCCGAACCUUCCCUGAUAAUUGGGAGAUUAUGAUGCAGGAGCCGGGGAAUCGGAGCGUAAACACUGUUUUGCUAUGAUCCGAUUAAUCAUUUCCAAUUGAAGAUGCACAGGAGUAAUUGCAAAGCCACCGAUACCCCUGCUGUCAAAGCUAUGAUGAGCCUUCAGCAACGUUUUCAUGAUGAGCCGAGGGCAAAAAAAUAAAGCAAUGUGAUAAAGUUUCAAGAGAUGUAAGCGAGCUUACUGUAGAGUACCUGUGGUGAUGUGAUGUGACAUGUUAUGUCUUAUCCAAGGGAGAGAAAACCUCUGUCAAGCAAUGGAUGGAUUUGUUUCGUCAGUUGUAUACAGAUGAGUUGAGUUUCUUGAAGAGGAGAGUAGACCAACAGAGCAGGAGGUGACUAGUCCAGUUAUUGAGUGGGCCUAGACUCUAGCGUCCAGGUUCAUUGAUAAUGUCCUAGCGUCCAGGUUCAUUGAUCAUGUCCUAGCGUCCAGGUUCAUUGAUCAUGUCCUAGCGUCCUGGUUCAUUGAUAAUGUCCGAGCAUCCAGGUUCAUUGAUAAUGUCCGAGCGUCCAGGUUCAUUGAUAAUGUCCGAGCGUCCAGGUUCAUUGAUAGUACAGAUUGACCAGCUGAGUAGUCAUUAUUCUAGUUUCUAUCAGCAAGCAUGGUGACUGGUGAGUCAUUGCCAGUUCCUAUAACAUCUCUGCAGGUCAGUCCAAAAGAGAGUGGCAACCAACCGACUUGAUGCUUGGGUUCUGACAACCAAGAGUAGACUUUGCUGUCGCAGAAGAACACCGUGUGACACGACAUCAUCUGUUGGUCAAUGCAACAUCGAUGUUCUGUUCUGUGCGACUUGAUGCUUGGGUUCUGACACUGGGAAAAAAAACACAGGUGCUUCCUAGCACCAUGAGUCUCCAUGGAAACACAUCCUGUGGCCCCUCGCUACAUUGAUGGAUCCGACACUUAAUUUCUACCUUUCACUGACAGAUCUAGGUUGACGUGAGCAAAGUGACUGGCCCUUACGACAUUCACAGGGAGAACAGACUGUAACACAACCAGUGUCAUUUCAGAACAUAUUUUUGUUUUAGUAUGUCCAUGUAGAGUUGGUUCAGGGCCUUGAGAGGUGGUUUGAAGGUUACACCCUCUCGUUACAGUAUCAGUCUGUCUGGUGUAGAAACCACUCUGUCAUUACAGUAUCAGUCUGUCUGGUGUAGAAACCACUCUGUGUUCUACAGUCAUCUUCAGAGAUAUUAUCUACAGUGAUCUGUGUUCUAGAGUCAUCGUCAGAGAUAUUAUCUACAGUGAUCUGUGUUCUACAGUCAUCGUCAGAGAUAUUAUCUAUAGUGAUCUGUGUUCUAGAGUCAUCUUCAGAGAUAUUAUCUACAGUGAUCUGUGUUCUAGAGUCAUCUUCAGAGAUAUUAUCUACAGUGAUCUGUGUUCUAGAGUCAUCUUCAGAGAUAUUAUCUACAGUGAUCUGUGUUCUAGAGUCAUCUUCAGAGAUAUUAUCUACAGUGAUCUGUGUUCUAGAGUCAUCUUCAGAGAUAUUAUCUACAGUGAUCUGUGGAAUCUAGGACGGCUCAUUCAUAAAAUACUAUGUUUGAUUUAUUGGUGUCAAAAACAAGAGAUAUGCUUUGGAUUGCUGAUUUAGCCAAUGAACACACACACACACACACACAAACACACACACACACACACACACACACACACACACACACACACACACACACACACACACACACACACACACACA